This 23-nucleotide non-coding RNA is filed under the name Cricetulus griseus (Chinese hamster). Lineage: Eukaryota; Metazoa; Chordata; Mammalia; Rodentia; Cricetidae. The record is from RNAcentral.
UAACAUUUUGGUCUCUGCUGUUA